RNAcentral lists this ribosomal RNA (491 nucleotides) under uncultured bacterium. RNAcentral's name for it is "partial 16S ribosomal RNA". It matches the Rfam family "Bacterial small subunit ribosomal RNA", at positions 28 to 507 of the family's 1533-position model. The record is from RNAcentral.
GAUGAACGCUGGCUACAGGCUUAACACAUGCAAGUCGAGGGGAAACGCCGGGGAAGCUUGCUUCCCCGGGCGUCGACCGGCGCACGGGUGAGUAACGCGUAUCCAACCUGCCUCUGACUGAAGGAUAACCCGUCGAAAGUCGGCCUAAUACCUCAUGGUAUCGUCUGCGGGCAUCCAACGACGAUUAAAGAUUUCAUCGGUCAGGGAUGGGGAUGCGUCUGAUUAGCUUGUUGGCGGGGUAACGGCCCACCAAGGCUACGAUCAGUAGGGGUUCUGAGAGGAAGGUCCCCCACAUUGGAACUGAGACACGGUCCAAACUCCUACGGGAGGCAGCAGUGAGGAAUAUUGGUCAAUGGGCGAGAGCCUGAACCAGCCAAGUAGCGUGCAGGAAGACGGCCCUAUGGGUUGUAAACUGCUUUUAUGCGGGGAUAAAGUGAGGGACGUGUCCCUCAUUGCAGGUACCGCAUGAAUAAGGACCGGCUAAUUCCGUG